This 27-nucleotide small RNA is filed under the name Bombyx mori (domestic silkworm). Its description in RNAcentral is "ovarian small RNA-36807". The record is from RNAcentral. Lineage: Eukaryota; Metazoa; Arthropoda; Insecta; Lepidoptera; Bombycidae.
UUAUAUGGAUUGUGAAGUGGUUCCGUC